GCAAGUCGAACGGGAAAAGGGGGCAACCCUGUGAGUACAGUGGCGUACGGGUGAGUAACACGUGACUACCUACCCUCGAGUGGGGGAUAACCCCGGGAAACCGGGGCUAAUACCGCAUAACAUCGCAAGAUCAAAGGAGCAAUUCGCUUGAGGAGGGGGUCGCGGCUGAUUAGCUAGUUGGUGAGGUAACGGCCCACCAAGGCGAUGAUCGGUAGCCGGCCUGAGAGGGCGCACGGCCACACUGGAACUGAAACACGGUCCAGACUCCUACGGGAGGCAGCAGUGGGGAAUUUUGCGCAAUGGGGGAAACCCUGACGCAGCAACGCCGCGUGGAGGAUGAAGUCCCUUGGGACGUAAACUCCUUUCGACCCGGACGAUAAUGACGGUACGGGUGGAAGAAGCACCGGCUAACUUCGUGCCAGCAGCCGCGGUAAUACGAGGGGUGCGAGCGUNGUUCGGAAUUAUUGGGCGUAAAGGGCGCG
RNAcentral lists this ribosomal RNA (482 nucleotides) under uncultured bacterium. Its description in RNAcentral is "bacterial SSU rRNA". It matches the Rfam family "Bacterial small subunit ribosomal RNA", at positions 57 to 571 of the family's 1533-position model. The record is from RNAcentral.